GAACGCUGGCGGCGUGCUUAACACAUGCAAGUCGAGCGAGAAGCUUGACGAUGAUCCUUCGGGUGAUUCGUUAAGUAGACAGCGGCGGACGGGUGAGUAACGCGUGGGUAACCUGCCCUAUGCAGGGGGAUAACGCACUGAAAAGUGCGCUAAUACCGCAUAAGACCACAGCAUCACAUGAUGCAGAGGUAAAAACUCCGGUGGCAUAGGAUGGACCCGCGUCUGAUUAGCUAGUUGGUGAGGUAACGGCUCACCAAGGCGACGAUCAGUAGCCGACCUGAGAGGGUGAUCGGCCACAUUGGGACUGAGACACGGCCCAAACUCCUACGGGAGGCAGCAGUGGGGAAUAUUGCACAAUGGGGGAAACCCUGAUGCAGCGACGCCGCGUGAAGGAAGAAGGUUUUCGGAUCGUAAACUUCUAUUCAGCAGGGAAGA
Molecule: ribosomal RNA, 435 nt
Filed under: uncultured Eubacteriales bacterium
Lineage: Bacteria; Bacillati; Bacillota; Clostridia; Eubacteriales
Description: bacterial SSU rRNA
Rfam family: Bacterial small subunit ribosomal RNA
Source: RNAcentral